This is a long non-coding RNA of Scylla paramamosain (green mud crab), 854 nucleotides long. RefSeq lists it as uncharacterized. The record is from RefSeq and is a predicted model, not a curated record. NCBI's taxonomy places the organism in Eukaryota, Metazoa, Arthropoda, Malacostraca, Decapoda, Portunidae. The transcript is spliced from 3 exons.
AAUGCUUAGUGUUAUGUAGUCUUGAUCAGUAUCCAUUGUAUAAUCCUUCACAGCAUGGCCACAGUAUUCUUAAAUGAAGAGUUCUUCGAAACAUGAAAAAAAAAAAAAUGUAAUGAUGUAUAAUUUGGAGAUAUAUUUUUUAGGGAUUAAAAGAUUAAAUUUGAAGCGUAUUCAGUAUUUACAUAUUAAGAGAAGUUAACAAAAUAAAUACAGAAACUAUGGAUAAUAUGUAAGUAAUGUGGAGAUCAUGUAAAAUAUGUAAAUAAUAAAUUGCGGAGGCCCAGUUACGACACGUGACAGGCCGCCUUAAUGUAAACAGCGGCAGUGGGGAGGCGACUCGCGCGGGAGUGAGGGAGACACGCUUGGGAAACUUUUAUUUGUGUGUGUGUUGUGUGUGGAGAAAGGAAAGACCGUGCCUCGAGAUAAGACUACAGUACUUCCACAAGACAGCUGGGAGACACGCCUCGCUCCAUCAGUGUGGACGUCUGUUUCGUGGUGGAAGAUGAGAUUAAAACAGAACCUUGUGCAGCUCCAUUGCUGAAGAGUUUAUGAAAUAGACAGGAGCAGUAGUUCGGCGUGAAAGAAACUUGGAUUUAUUCUUCAGAUUAAGUGUAACACCAUGGACGGCGCAAGGCUACUCACCUGACAGUGGCGUUUGCGGGACAGGAAGUAUCCGUAGAAGGCCACAAUAUCUGACCCGGAAUGGUACGUCAUGGUCCAGUUAAUGAAGGAACUCAUUCGGCUAGCCCUGACGCUGUUCAAGUGAAUUCGGCCAACGUCUGAGAUGGGCGACUCUACAGAGACCCACACCCAGCGCUGGGAGUUGGGGCGGGGCAGGUUUUUCAGGUACGGUU